GUGAUGGGUCGCCCCACCGCGGCAAGGGAGGCAACUCCGGCGACGAGGAAAGUCCGGGCAACGCAGAGCACCCUGCUUCCUAACGGGAAGGACUGGCAAGCGUAAAGUGAACCAGGACAGCCAGUGCCACAGAAAAUUACCGCCAAGCGGUGAAGUGGUGAGUUGGUGAACUAGUGAGUUAUUGUUCAAACUGCGCAAGCAGAACCUCAAACUCACCAUUUCACAAUUUCACCAUCUCACCUUUGGUAAGGGUGAAAAGGUGCGGUAAGAGCGCACCAGCGGCUGGGCAACCAUGCCGGCUGGGUAAACCUCAGGGGUUGAAAGACCAAAUAAGCUGGUACGCAAGCCUUUCGGGGCCUGCACCGGGCGGCUCGUCCGGCGCCAGCGGGUAGGUUGAUGGAGCCUUUCCGCGAGGACUGGCCUAGAUAAAUGGUGGGGCCGCUUCUGCUUGCAGGGGCGGACAAAACCCGGCUUACAGACUCAUCACCGGC
Molecule: RNase P RNA, 491 nt
Filed under: Hymenobacter cellulosilyticus
Lineage: Bacteria; Pseudomonadati; Bacteroidota; Cytophagia; Cytophagales; Hymenobacteraceae
Description: Bacterial RNase P class A
Rfam family: Bacterial RNase P class A
About the family: Ribonuclease P (RNase P) is a ubiquitous endoribonuclease, found in archaea, bacteria and eukarya as well as chloroplasts and mitochondria. Its best characterised activity is the generation of mature 5'-ends of tRNAs by cleaving the 5'-leader elements of precursor-tRNAs.
Source: Rfam by way of RNAcentral